This 76-nucleotide transfer RNA is filed under the name Salmonella sp. FORC89. RNAcentral describes it as "tRNA-Ala". The record is from RNAcentral. Lineage: Bacteria; Pseudomonadati; Pseudomonadota; Gammaproteobacteria; Enterobacterales; Enterobacteriaceae.
CAGUCGCAUACCCAUUUUUUACACCGGGUAGACGGGCAUCGCCGCCCGAUUUUAUAUAGCCGCAGCUACCAUAAUA